UAGUACGAGAGGACCGGAGUGGACGCAUCACUGGUGUUCGGGUUGUCAUGCCAAUGGCACUGCCCGGUAGCUAAAUGCGGAAGAGAUAAGUGCUGAAAGCAUCUAAGCACGAAACUUGCCCCGAGAUGAGUUCUCCCUGAGACUUAGAGUCUCCUGAAGGAACGUUAAAGACGAUGACGUUGAUAGGCCGGGUGUGUAAGCGCAGCGAUGCGUUGAGCUAACCGGUACUAAUGAACCGUGAGGCUUAACCUUACAACGCCGAAG
This 264-nucleotide ribosomal RNA is filed under the name Klebsiella indica. RNAcentral's name for it is "Klebsiella sp. TOUT106 partial 23S ribosomal RNA". It matches the Rfam family "Bacterial large subunit ribosomal RNA", at positions 2679 to 2925 of the family's 2925-position model. The record is from RNAcentral. Lineage: Bacteria; Pseudomonadati; Pseudomonadota; Gammaproteobacteria; Enterobacterales; Enterobacteriaceae.